GUGGCUAGGAAAAACUCCCUAGGAAAAACUCCCUAGAAAGGCCAAAAACCUAGGAAGAAACCUAGAGAGGAACCAGGCUAUGAGGGGUGGCCAGUCCUCUUCUGGCUGUGCCGGGUGGAUAUUAUAACAGAACAUGGUCAAGAUGUUAAAAUGUUCAUAAAUGACCAGCAUGGUCAAAUAAUAAUGAUCAUAGUAGUUGUCGAGGGUGCAACAAGCACGUCCGGUGAACAGGUCAGGGUUCCAUAGCCGCAGGCAGAACAGUUGAAACUGGAGCAGCAGCACGGCCAGGUGGACUGGGGACAGCAAGGAGUCAUCAUGCCACGUAGUCCUGAGGCAUGGUCCUAGGGCUCAGGUCCUCCGAGAGAAAGAGAGAAAGAGAGAAUUAGAGAGAGCAUAUUUAAAUUCACACAGGACACCGGAUAAGACAAGAGAAAUACUCCAGAUGUAACAGACUGACCCUAGCCCCCCGACACAUAAACUACUGCAGCAUAAAUACUGGAGGCUGAGACAGGAGGGAUCAGAAGACACUGUGGCCCCAUCCGAUGAUACCCCCAGACAGGGCCAAACAGGCAGGAUAUAACCCCACCCAUUUUGCCAAAGCACAGCC
This 607-nucleotide long non-coding RNA is filed under the name Salmo salar (Atlantic salmon). Its description in RNAcentral is "lncRNA (ENSSSAG00000089599.1)". The record is from RNAcentral. Lineage: Eukaryota; Metazoa; Chordata; Actinopteri; Salmoniformes; Salmonidae.